RNAcentral lists this long non-coding RNA (1001 nucleotides) under Homo sapiens (human). Its description in RNAcentral is "HSALNT0299368". The record is from RNAcentral. Lineage: Eukaryota; Metazoa; Chordata; Mammalia; Primates; Hominidae.
UGUUUGUUUCUCUUACAAUCAAAAAGGGAGUAGAAUUCUGGCAAGUUUUCUAUCUGGGUUUCUGUGAUAGUUCUGCCCUAGCAGGUCUGAACUGGAAGCUGGUGGGGGCGUGGAUUGGUGGAGUAAGGAGGGAGGUGUGCAGGGAGCCAUCUUUUAUCGUAUCAUUUCCUGAGGCCCCACAACGACUUCCUCUACUUCCAACACCUAAAGAUAAUGGCACUGGUUCCACAGCAAGUGUGGGAAUGAUUUUACACAAUAGUAUCUGGGAAAAUAUUUACUUCUGGCCCACUGGCAAAGGAUUGGCCUUUUUAUAUUGUUCUGAAGUUAACUUCAGAGGAGGUCCUUCCCUGAAAAGUCACAGCUGAAGGAACUCACUGCAGACGGUGACUGUUCCUAUGAAGGAUCCUUCUGCCUUUUCAUAACCUGUGUGCUGUUGUUUAAUUCUCAUGGAGAAUGACAAGUUCCACUAAAAUAUGCACAUGGCAUCUCCAAGAAACAGAAGCAAGAAUUAAAGUGAAGGGGUGGUAGGCAAAAAAGGCCAAGAAUGACCAUGAUUAGACCAAGGAACUUCCACUUCCAAGCCGUAGCUGGCUGCAUCCUCUUCAUGACUCUUGGGAAAAUAUUUUCUGUGGAGUCUAAAAGAAACAAAAAUACACCUGAAAAGAAAAAAAGGUAAGCAUUCCUUACAAAAGAGAAAAUUUCCCUUCCAUGUUAUGUGUCUACAGACAAAUAUUUUUCUUCACAUGCACUUUUGGAGUAAGGACUAUAUGCGUAGCUAUAGUUUACACCUGUAUAUACUCAGGAAGUAUUUGGAUUAUGAUGGUAUGAUGAUAGUUGUUAAAGAAAGUUCUUUUGCAUGUGAAAAAGAAAGGGAAGACAAGGCAAACAGCAGUCUGUUCAGCAUUAUCCUUUCAAUGAAUUCUACCCUUUUAUACAAUAAAAAGCUGUGGCUGUAUUAUAGGCCCUGGGUUAAAUAAAAGCAAACCACACUCUUUGUUCAA